AUACGGAGGGUGCAAGCGUUAUUCGGAAUCACUGGGCGUAAAGGGUGCGUAGGCGGUUUGAUAAGUCUGAUGUGAAAUCCUAUGGCUCAACCAUAGAACUGCAUUGGAAACUGUCAGACUAGAAUACUGAAGGGGCAGAUGGAAUUAGUGGUGUAGGGGUAAAAUCCGUAGAUAUCACUAGGAAUACCGAAAGCGAAAGCGAUCUGCUGGGAAGUUAUUGACGCUGAGGCACGAAAGCGUGGGGAGCAAACAGGAUUAGAUACCCUAGUAGUCC
Molecule: ribosomal RNA, 274 nt
Filed under: uncultured bacterium
Lineage: Bacteria
Description: partial 16S ribosomal RNA
Rfam family: Bacterial small subunit ribosomal RNA
Source: RNAcentral